ACAAAUGUCCACGAUUAUACACACAUAUUAAGCUCACCCUUGCGGUAUUGCUGCCCACUGUCACCGCCAUUGUAUCUUUUGUGUAGUC
This 88-nucleotide ribosomal RNA is filed under the name uncultured bacterium. RNAcentral's name for it is "partial 16S ribosomal RNA". The record is from RNAcentral.